UACGAAGGGGGCUAGCGUUGCUCGGAAUCACUGGGCGUAAAGCGCACGUAGGCGGAUUGUUAAGUCAGGGGUGAAAUCCUGGAGCUCAACUCCAGAACUGCCUUUGAUACUGAGAAGCUUGAGUCCGGGAGAGGUGAGUGGAACUGCGAGUGUAGAGGUGAAAUUCGUAGAUAUUCGCAAGAACACCAGUGGCGGAGGCGGCUCACUGGCCCGGUACUGACGCUGAGGUGCGAAAGCGUGGGGAGCAAACAGG
This 253-nucleotide ribosomal RNA is filed under the name uncultured bacterium. RNAcentral's name for it is "partial 16S ribosomal RNA". It matches the Rfam family "Bacterial small subunit ribosomal RNA", at positions 524 to 776 of the family's 1533-position model. The record is from RNAcentral.